CUGUUACAUGAAUGUUGAAUCAGUAAGAGAAAUUAUCUGAAGUGGAUUUGAAGACUCUUCCUUUGAUUCUAGUGAAGAGAUCCUUUAAGACCCUGAGAAAACAUGUGGCAAUUCUCUGUGAAUUUGGAAAGGAAGCAUUCACCUAUGAAAGAAAAUGCUUCCAUCAGGUACUUCAAGGUUGAAGAGGCAGAGGACGAGUUAUCCACAAGGAAUUUGGAAGAGAAGCUUGUUUCAAAGUUGGAUGAGCCAUGAGAACAACUACCAAAUAAAUCAUUGUGUGGAAAAGAAUUGAUUUGGGAAUCAAUUGUCUGGGAAAGAAAAUCACAAAGAAGUGAUUGUGAAGACAUUCAUUUGUUCUUCAGAUAUGUAACUGUUUAAUCUGAAGUAAACUUUGGGAUGGAAAACUAUUAGGAACGUUUCUUGCUUAAUUUUGCCAUUGUACGCUCUGAUAUUGAUUGUUCAGGAUUAUUGAGCACACAUGCUGUA
This is a long non-coding RNA of Homo sapiens (human), 486 nucleotides long. RefSeq lists it as uncharacterized. The record is from RefSeq and is a predicted model, not a curated record. NCBI's taxonomy places the organism in Eukaryota, Metazoa, Chordata, Mammalia, Primates, Hominidae. The transcript is spliced from 3 exons.